This 424-nucleotide ribosomal RNA is filed under the name uncultured prokaryote. RNAcentral's name for it is "bacterial SSU rRNA". It matches the Rfam family "Bacterial small subunit ribosomal RNA", at positions 355 to 796 of the family's 1533-position model. The record is from RNAcentral.
CAAGGAAUUUUCCGCAAUGGGCGCAAGCCUGACGGAGCAACGCCGCGUGCAGGACGACGGCCUUCGGGUUGUAAACUGCUUUUCGGCGGGACGAUGAUGACGGUACCGCCGGAAGAAGCCCCGGCUAACUCCGUGCCAGCAGCCGCGGUAAUACGGAGGGGGCAAGCGUUGUUCGGAAUUACUGGGCGUAAAGGGCGCGUAGGCGGUCUGUUGCGUCAGGUGUGAAAGCCCCGGGCUCAACCUGGGAGGUGCACUUGAUACGGGCGGACUGGAAUCCGGGAGAGGAUGGUGGAAUUCCCAGUGUAGAGGUGAAAUUCGUAGAUAUUGGGAAGAACACCGAUGGCGAAGGCAGCCAUCUGGCCCGGUAUUGACGCUGAGGCGCGAAAGCGUGGGGAGCAAACAGGAUUAGAUACCCCCGUAGUCC